Molecule: ribosomal RNA, 447 nt
Filed under: uncultured bacterium
Lineage: Bacteria
Description: bacterial SSU rRNA
Rfam family: Bacterial small subunit ribosomal RNA
Source: RNAcentral
CGCCAGACUCCUACGGGAGGCAGCAGUGGGGAAUAUUGCACAAUGGGGGAAACCCUGAUGCAGCAACGCCGCGUGAGUGAAGAAGUAUUUCGGUAUGUAAAGCUCUAUCAGCAGGGAAGAGAAUGACGGUACCUGAAGAAGAAGCCCCGGCUAACUACGUGCCAGCAGCCGCGGUAAUACGUAGGGGGCAAGCGUUAUCCGGAUUUACUGGGUGUAAAGGGGGCGCAGACGGCGAUGCAAGCCAGGAGUGAAAGCCCGGGGCCCAACCCCGGGACUGCUCUUGGAACUGCGUGGCUGGAGUGCAGGAGGGGCAGGCGGAAUUCCUGGUGUAGCGGUGAAAUGCGUAGAUAUCAGGAGGAACACCGGUGGCGAAGGCGGCCUGCUGGACUGCAACUGACGUUGAGGCCCGAAAGCGUGGGGAGCAAACAGGAUUAGAUACCCUUGUAC